AACAAAACCUUAUGAUUAAUAAGUAAUAAAAAAAUAAAAAAAACAAUAAUUAAAUCGAAGAUCCAGUACUUAGAAGACUAAAUUUACAAUCAAUCGAAAUCAUGAGGACCAACACAACAAUUAAACGCAUAAGUUCCAGAAUUCAAAUUCAAAUAACAAAAACGCCACCGGUUUAUUUUGGACUAAAAUGAAAAUAGAAUAAAAGAUAUGGUAUAGAUUUUUAAAAAAUUGAAAGAAAUCGGAUUGAAACAAUGCAAAACAAAGGAGGACCUGUUGCAUAAAUAGACCUUUGAACAAAAUUGCGCGGAUCCUUCCCCGAGUCGGGUCACCGCGCGGAUCUAUGCCUGUAAACGACACCGUUUUGAAGCCAUGGCCUUGGCUCCAAACGAUGCCGUUUCCUCCACGGUUUAAAACACAAAACCCUAAGCCAUCAAAUAUGCUCCCAAUCAAAAAGAAAACCUAAGGGAAAAAAAAGAAAAAAAAUAAACUCUCUGCGCCGUUCUGUGCACUGAAGGCGCUUGAGUGAUCUCCGAUCCAAGCCUGGUCUCCGAUGACGACGGAGAAGGCUCGAAUCUCGUCACAAGGUACUUUCUACCCUUUUUUAUUACUGUUUCUUCCCUUAAUAAACGACCAGUAGAUGCAAAAUAGAAAAAGAAACGAAGGGAAAAGAGAAAAAAAACGACUUGCGAAUAAUAAAAAAACCCAGAAAUCACCUUCUUUGUAUUUUGAUUUUUGUAUUCUGAAUGCGUAUAUGUUACAGCAUACUCUUGGUAUUUUUUAUAGUCUCUAUUUACAGAAAAAAUGAAAAAUAAAAAUAAAAAUCCAAACAAAUCGCCCCCGCUCUGUUAUCUUUGCUUUUUUCUCUGCCAUUUUUGUGUGCCGUUGCUAUCUGUUUUACUGCUCAUUAGUUUGUCUCUUGCAGGUACGGUGUGCAGAGGUGCGGACGUGGCACGUACGGAGGCGAAGGCGCGCGCGUACGAGGGCUCGUCACGUGCGGAGAGAGAGCGAAGGGACGUCACUGCUGCGGCGCUGGGAACCCUUGCUGCUAGGGUUUCCAUGUGUCGUUUUGUGUUUUGGGCUAAUUUGGGUCAUUGGGUAUUUAGGCUAAUGGGCCGAAUUGGGAUGGUAAUUUGGGCCAUUGUAAUUGGGUUGUUUUUGGACUUGGGUUUGAUGUAAUUUGGGUUAUUGGGCUCGGUGGGUCUGAGUCUGUAAAUGGACAUUUAUUUAAUUGAAUUUGGGUUUAAUUUUAAUAUUUGUAAAACUAGGUUGUUAAUAGUGGAUAUUUUAAUUUAAUGUAUUUAUUUUUUUCUUUUUGGUACUUAUUGGGCCGGGAAAAAUGGGUUAUUACAUCAGUUACAAAAGGAAUUGGAGUGUGUUCUUCAUCAUGAAGAGUUGCUUUGGAAACAAAAAGCUAGGUGCGACUAGAUGCAGUUUGGAGAUUGAAACACUAAGUUUUUCCAUUCUCGCAUGAUUCAAAAAAAGAAUUGUAAUAAAAUUUCUGCCUUGAAGAAUGAUGAAGGCGAUUGGAUUUUUGAGGAUGAGCGGCUCCGGACUAAGGUUGUUAGAUUCUUCCAGAAUCUGUAUAGUGAAGUCCCGAUUUGUAUAAAACCUUUAC
Molecule: long non-coding RNA, 1615 nt
Filed under: Gossypium raimondii (Peruvian cotton)
Lineage: Eukaryota; Viridiplantae; Streptophyta; Magnoliopsida; Malvales; Malvaceae
Description: long non-coding RNA (GRAI_LNC008235)
Source: RNAcentral